RNAcentral lists this unclassified non-coding RNA (348 nucleotides) under soil metagenome. RNAcentral describes it as "partial contains 5.8S ribosomal RNA, internal transcribed spacer 2, and large subunit ribosomal RNA". The stretch from base 1 to 120 matches the Rfam family "5.8S ribosomal RNA", at positions 35 to 154 of the family's 154-position model. The record is from RNAcentral.
GAUGAAGAACGUAGCGAAAUGCGAUAAGUAAUGUGAAUUGCAGAAUUCAGUGAAUCAUCGAAUCUUUGAACGCACAUUGCGCCCGCCAGUAUUCUGGCGGGCAUGCCUGUCUGAGCGUCAUUUCAACCCUCAUGCCCCUAGGGCGUGGUGUUGGGGAUCGGCCAAAGCCCGCGAGGGACGGCCGGCCCCUAAAUCUAGUGGCGGACCCGUCGUGGCCUCCUCUGCGAAGUAGUGAUAUUCCGCAUCGGAGAGCGAUGAGCCCCUGCCGUUAAACCCCCAACUUUCCAAGGUUGACCUCAGAUCAGGUAGGAAUACCCGCUGAACUUACGCAUAUCAAGAAGCGGAGGA